UAAUACGGAGGGUGCAAGCGUUGUUCGGAAUCACUGGGCGUAAAGCGCGUGUAGGCGGCCUCCUCAGUCUGGUGUGAAAGCCCGGGGCUCAACCCCGGAAGUGCAUUGGAUACUGGGAGGCUGGAGUACCGGAGAGGAGGGUGGAAUUCCUGGUGUAGCGGUGAAAUGCGUAGAUAUCAGGAGGAACACCGGUGGCGAAGGCGGCCCUCUGGACGGAUACUGACGCUGAGACGCGACAGCGUGGGGAGCAAACAGGAUUAGAUACCCUGGUAGUCCACGCCGUAAACGAUGGGCACUAGGUGUUCGGGGUAUUGACCCCCUGAGUGCCGCAGCUAACGCAUUAAGUGCCCCGCCUGGGGACUACGGCCGCAAGGCUA
This 377-nucleotide ribosomal RNA is filed under the name uncultured bacterium. RNAcentral describes it as "bacterial SSU rRNA". It matches the Rfam family "Bacterial small subunit ribosomal RNA", at positions 521 to 896 of the family's 1533-position model. The record is from RNAcentral.